RNAcentral lists this long non-coding RNA (628 nucleotides) under Lepisosteus oculatus (spotted gar). RNAcentral's name for it is "lncRNA (ENSLOCG00000021651.1)". Lineage: Eukaryota; Metazoa; Chordata; Actinopteri; Semionotiformes; Lepisosteidae. The record is from RNAcentral.
AUAAAGGUGUGCUUACUUGGACAUUCCUCUUUGCUCCUAGUGUCGUAUUGUCUAUUUCAUUUGUCCUCUGGGGUGUAAUUGAAGGGUCUUUGGAAGAAGUGAUCAUGUGUGUGACUGUUAAUCUUCUGAGGAUUGUACUAGUUCCGACUUUCUUCAAUGUGAAGAACUCAGUUUUCAUCGGUUUCUCAAUAAUUCAUUUUGUUGUGUUAACUGAGAUGUGGUCUGUUCCUCUGUGGGAGUAUUUCAAGAGCCACACACCAGACACAGCUGUUACAGCAGGUAUUGGACUGGCCUGUGCCUCAUCACUGCUCUCCUAUCUCUGUGGGGUUUUUAUUCAAGGUAAGAACACCUGCUUUCUCAGAUCCAGGAGAGAGAGAUUCGGUGUGAAGAGCUCAGAUCUAGCCUCUCUCCUUGCUAGGUUUCAGUUCCAGAACACAUGGAGCGAUGUGAUGGAGAUACAGUAGAGAAAGAAUCCCAGACUGCACUGGGAGGGAUGAGAACAGACUCUCACAAUCUCUCUCCGACAGACACUCGAUAAGAACAAGGAGUUUUCUAGAGAAUCACAGGAAGCAGCUGGAUCUCUUACUGAUACAGUCCUGCUUUAAUUCAACAUAAAAUUAAGCUCAGG